Molecule: ribosomal RNA, 448 nt
Filed under: uncultured bacterium
Lineage: Bacteria
Description: bacterial SSU rRNA
Rfam family: Bacterial small subunit ribosomal RNA
Source: RNAcentral
UCCAGACUCCUACGGGAGGCAGCAGUGGGGGAUAUUGCACAAUGGGGGAAACCCUGAUGCAGCGACACCGCGUGGGUGAGGAAGCGCUUCGGCGUGUAAAGCCCUAUCAGUGGGGAAGAAAAAGGACGGUACCCAAAGAAGAAGCACCGGCUAAAUACGUGCCAGCAGCCGCGGUAAUACGUAUGGUGCAAGCGUUAUCCGGAUUUACUGGGUGUAAAGGGAGCGCAGGCGGCGCGUUAAGCCUGGUGUGAAAGCCCGCGGCCCAACCGCGGGACUGCAUUGGGAACUGGCGCGCUGGAGUGCCGGAGGGGUAGGCGGAAUUCCUAGUGUAGCGGUGAAAUGCGUAGAUAUUAGGAGGAACACCAGUGGCGAAGGCGGCCUGCUGGACAGUAACUGACGUUGAGGCUCGAAAGCGUGGGGAGCAAACAGGAUUAGAUACCCCCGUAUA